CUACGGGAGGCAGCAGUGGGGAAUAUUGGACAAUGGGCGAAAGCCUGAUCCAGCCAUGCCGCGUGUGUGAAGAAGGCCUUCGGGUUGUAAAGCACUUUCAGUGGGGAAGAAAGCCUUGGGGCUAAUACCCUCGAGGAAGGACAUCACCCACAGAAGAAGCACCGGCUAACUCCGUGCCAGCAGCCGCGGUAAUACGGAGGGUGCGAGCGUUAAUCGGAAUUACUGGGCGUAAAGCGCGCGUAGGCGGUCUGAUAAGCCGGUUGUGAAAGCCCCGGGCUCAACCUGGGAACGGCAUCCGGAACUGUCAGGCUAGAGUGCAGGAGAGGAAGGUAGAAUUCCCGGUGUAGCAGUGAAAUGCGUAGAGAUCGGGAGGAAUACCAGUGGCGAAGGCGGCCUUCUGGACUGACACUGACGCUGAGGUGCGAAAGCGUGGGUAGCAAACAGGAUUAGAUACCCGGGUAGUC
RNAcentral lists this ribosomal RNA (464 nucleotides) under Vreelandella stevensii. Its description in RNAcentral is "partial 16S ribosomal RNA". It matches the Rfam family "Bacterial small subunit ribosomal RNA", at positions 339 to 795 of the family's 1533-position model. Lineage: Bacteria; Pseudomonadati; Pseudomonadota; Gammaproteobacteria; Oceanospirillales; Halomonadaceae. The record is from RNAcentral.